Cyanistes caeruleus (blue tit) is the source of this 6227-nucleotide non-coding RNA. Lineage: Eukaryota; Metazoa; Chordata; Aves; Passeriformes; Paridae. The record is from RefSeq and is a predicted model, not a curated record.
AGAACGAUGGAACUGGUGAAGGACCAGAAGUUUACUUUUUUGAAAUCUCUGAGAUGCUGUGUUGUGUUAGCAUCCUUCCCCUUGCAAUGAGCCAGUUAAUUCUGUUACAGAGCUAGUUUUUGCCAGUUUGUUCUUUAUUCAUUCACUUCUGCUUUCAUUUCACAGGCACAGCCUUUGGCUGCUGGGAUGGUGAACCAGCAUUGGGCUCCAGAACAGCAACAUGACCUUUAGAAUUCACUUCCCCCAGCCCCUCUGCAGUAAAUUCCCUGGUGCUGGGAUAAUCACCUUGUGAUAGCAGAUGCUCUGGUUGUGCCCACUCCCUUCCAGAUGCACACCUCAUACCAAUACACCUCUUUUCUUAUUAUUGCUUCUGCUCUACUCUGUGGGUUUUGUUUCUUCAUGAGGCCUAGGGAUAGAAAAAGCAUUUGCUUUCAAUGUACAUCUAAGGAGUAGUCAUGAGUAACUGUGGUGGCUGUAGGCAACAGGGCAGUGGUUAUUUUCUGCAGUCCUUAAUUCCUCUGCAUCUUUCAUCUCUUGGAUUAAUCAGAGCAUUUGAUCUUAUUUUUUAGAAUACCUAUUUUUUUUUUAAUCCUGUCAUCUUUUUCAGCUAGAAAGUAACUUGUUCCCUAUUUCCUCAUCUCCCUCCAGCCAGGGAUAUUUGGUGCUUGUGUGUUCCUUUCUCCUCCUCUCUUUUCAUGGACCUCUUAAUAUGUCUUCUGAUAAGUGCACAGGUGAUUUUAAUUGGUCUUUGUGCCUUAUGGAUCUUGUUUUAGAUUUAAAUUUAAUGUGCAUCCUUUAAACACCAGACCAAUUAAUAUGGAAUAUGCUUUUGUAGUUUUCCAUGCUAAAUGAUUCCGCUGAUUUUGCAAUGACCCAGGGGUUUCAUGCUAUGGUGCUGACAGCUGCUUUUGUCAUUGACUUUAAAAAAAAAUUCAGUUUCAAAACUUGGCUUUUCUAAGACAACCCCUAAUCCUGAAUCAACUAUGAAAAUCUUCUUUAUUUUAAAAAUACUGUUGGGAGAAUGUUAUUAUUUGUGGCUUGUUAGCUUUCAGCAAUUAUUCCUUUUUUACACAGCUUUUUUAGACAUGACAGUAUCCAAAGUUCAGAAUCUCUCCUUACUCCACAAACAAUCAUGCACAGACUUAAUUUUUAAAUAAGAUACCAGUCUUAGAAAGUUCUGCAUCUCUCAUGAAAUUUAAAUAAUUACACAGUGUGUAUAGGCACAUGGUAUCUUUCCCCAAAGCUUAUGGGUUAGUAUCACUCACAGAGUAUUUGUGGCAUAACUGAGAAAACUUUCUAUUAAAACUGACUUAUUUCACCAUCCUGCCAUACUGUAAGGGUCAAAUCAUCUGUUCUGAGAACCAUUCACUUAAAAGAUUAAGGCAAAGCCAAGGGUGAUCCCUCUUUGCUGUAUAAUGGGAUACCAGUAAUGUAACCAGGGAAAGUAGGAAGUGUUCAGGACUAAAUCUCAUUGGGAGACAGGCUCAGCCUAAGUAGAAGAAAUGUGGAUGCAGUUAGAAGUGAUUAAGGUGCUUAGUCUUUCCAUUAUAAAUCAUCAAUCUUUAUGUGUGAUUGUCUUCCUAUAAAUCAUAAAGCAAUUUAUCUUAGCCUUGUAAGCAAAUGAUUUUUUCAGGCAUUUUGAAAGCAUUUUCACACAAUAAAUCCAGGACUGAUAGUAAAGGCUUAGCUUCCAUUAUGAUAAAUAGAAUAGUCAUGAAAGGAUCAUUAUUUUCAUGGCAAUGUACUUGGAAAAAUAACAGAGAUUAGAGCAAGAACUAACAAGAGAUAAUAAGGAGAAUAAGAAUGGAAUUUUUCCUAAUUCAGUUGUUAAGGAUGAAUGCUUUAUCUUGGCUGCCUGACUUAGUAUUCUGGAUGAUGGAAAGGAGAAAACUGUUCUGAUUUCAGAAAAUAUAAAAGUAAAUAUGAAAGCUGAAACUCCCUCUGCUUUCCAGUGCAGGUGUAUAGACUUCUAGGUGAUUUGAAGAAAAUUACUUAGAGAGUUCAGGGAACUGGUAUGUGAAAUUGAAGUAAAUAUAAAAUGCUGGUAUGAAGGGCCUGGGUGGAGCCUGCUGAACACCCCCACAGUUCUCUGGGCAGUAGAUGAUGUCACUUCCAGUGGUAGGCACCCCUCCACUUGUAUUUUCCUCCUUGUUCUUCACUGACCCAUGGCUCCUUUGCCCUUCAUCAAGUAGAUGUGGACAUAAUCAAAGUCAACCCUUCCAGUAUUGUGGGAUCUAAUUCUCAAAUAAAGGCAACAUUUUCUAUAAACCACAACUCUCAUCUUGUCAAUUGAAUAGCAAAUCACCCAGGGCCUUGGAAACUAUAACAAAAAUUUCCCAGUCGGGUUACUUAACUGGAAUAAUUUUGAAAUUACUUAUUUGUGGUACCGUUGUCUUUUGUGUCCCACCAUCAAGAGUGCCUGGCUGAGGGAUGGCUGCAGAGCUGACACAUCAUGGGUGAGUUGUUCAUGCCUGAAUUUUCACCCAGUAUUUGAUUCAUAUUCUUCCUUCAGAGAAGCUCUUCAUUCCAUUGCAAAGUAUCGUUAUUAAAUGUAACUCCUUUUAAAACUCUACUUCGAUUUAUGAUUCCCUUACAGCAAUAGAAGGAAUUCCUGAUCCGCUUGCUGUCCUCCUGGUAAAGCCAAGUUAUAUGUGCAUCAGCCACGAGGUGGCAAUACAAGAGCUUGAUAUGCUGGAUUUUGGUGAACUUUGGGAUAUUAGCUAGGUAAAUAUAUUUUCAGUGUUUCUGCAGAGUUUGGCUUUCUCUGCCAGUGUGUGAUGCGUGCUCCACAUCUGCAUAAAUGACUUCAUGCAAAAGCUAAGGGAGACUAAGCCGAUUUACUGGAUCAAUGAUUGAAGACUUUUAUGUGGCUAAUAAUUGAUAUCUUUAUUUAAAUGGCUCGGUAGUUGAUGGAGAUAUUAUGUGAAGAACUCAGCUGCCAUUAAAAGCAAAAUAUCUCAAGAAAGCGGAUACUCUGGUAACAUACAGCUGUCUCACUGUGAGUUUUCUCCUGGCUUUAAGUUCUGACCUUCCUGAAGGCCAAGGAAACCUGAACACCUCACAUGUAUGGAAUUCCCAGACAGGAUUGCUUCACAACAUUGAAGUCUGCCUUUUUCAUCCAGGUUUUUGAUUCAGCUCUCAGCAUGGCUGAUGCUUCUUUUUCUGCCUUAUAAGAGCAUUCAACACUGGUGUCAGGUGGAAGUACUUAAUUUCCAAUCUUUUUUGUCCUUUCUUGUCAUUUUCAGGCAUUAGGGAAAGUAAUAGUAUCUCUGUACUUUCAAGGACUAGUUUUCACCCACUGUAAUGGAGAAAGUAUUUUAAGACAUUUUCUAUUUUGACAUUAGCUCUUUCAGUAGCAGUCAGUGCUACAGCUUUUCAGAAGGUGGAGUUCUCUGUUUUUCAGAUAGACUAAAAAGCUUCUAGCAUAAGAAAUGGAUUGUGGACUUGGCAGAUGUCUCAUGUCACUAUAUUCACCACAGUGUUUAUUUGAACAUGAAGAAAUUAUGGAUGUGCAUUUUGCUAUUUCACAUGAAAGUGACAACAACCUGCUACUGUCUUUUCUUGACAUGGAAAUAGUUUUCCUCUGAGUACUUUAUGGGAAAUCUUACUUUCAAUCAGACAAUGCACUGUGAAGUCUCUUAGCAAAUAUGUCUUUGAAAUACAUGCAAGUUUGUGGUUUAGUAAAUAAAUAGAAAUGUAAGGAGAGGAACAUAGUAGGAAGCCUUGAAAGAGUAAAUAACUUUUGAGAAGGGAACUUCCCUAAGAAAGAUUUGUGAUAAAAUUCUGCCUGUGAGUCGGGUGUUCAGCCUGUAAGAAGUGCUGUGAGCACAGGUGCUGGGACUGCCUUGUCUUUGAAAUAACACAAAGCUCUUCUGCAAGGACAGUGAUGGCCCCUCUCAGUUUGGAUACUUUGCUGGACCAGGGCACUGGCACACAUCAGAAUUCAAGAUUCACAGCUAUUAAAGCCUGAAGGAAACGGAUUUGGCUGAUUUUCCCUCUGCACAAUGCUGACCAUGGGAUUUAACAGUUGACAGAAAAUGCAGAAAUGGAGACCUGUAUUUGGCAAAAGCAGAUACACCACAGCCCAGAUGUCCUUCAAAAGGAUCUCUAACCCUAUCUGUUAGCAUCAAGCAGCCUGCUUAGACAGUUGAUAAACAAACUUUGUCUUCAAAGCUGGUAACAACAGAUUUCUCCUGAGAAAACAUGCACUAUCCCCAAAGGCUCUUCUCUUUCUUGAGGUUGUUUGCAUGUCUCAGAUACUGCACAGCAUCAGACCAGAUACUGCACAGCCUCAGGCCAUGCUCCUGGCAGGUUACAUAAAAAAAGGCUUAGAGAAGCUGGCUGGUGAUUGAAGAAAUGAAAGUAAGCUUUGGGACAUGAUGUUUGAGGAACUGGACGGCUACUGCUUUUACCUUGCAGCUUUCUCCAGUUGCUUGUGGCAAGAUGCUGGACUUAGAUCUCGAUGGGAGCCAUUUUUCAGGGAUAACAAGUAACUGGUUGUACCAGCAGAAGGAUAACUCAACUCAGUGAUGAGUUGAUAGGAUAAUAUUUCUGUCCACCUAAAUUGUUCUGCAGUAUCAAAUGACAAAGAGCUUUCCACCCCAAACCUCCUGUCACAAAAGCCUCGGAAGAGCUCUCUCUCGCCAGCUGCAAGAAAUGGACAUGUUCAGAGCCACGUGUCCUCCACAAGGGAUUGUUUCAGCUCAGCUGUUGACAAGUUCUGGGAGCCAACAAGUUCAGAACUGGAGAAUGGGAAGAGUGCAGAAGAGCCAAGUCAAAAAACCCCCAAACCCAGCAUUUAAACCCAAAGGGAAAUCUUUCUUUUCACUGCCUAAAUGCCUCAGUAAAACACCAUUUUUGUCUCAGGGCAUAAAAGGUACUCCCUGCUUUCUUCUUGAAGCCCAAUUCCAAUGUUGAUGUGAGGGGUGGAUGGCAAGACAGAAUCACAGAAUACAUUGAGAAAUGAUCAGGAUAAAAAAGAUUUAAAUGCAGCCAUUGAGAGGAAACAAGAAUAUGUUCCAACAGCAGCUUCUCUGGCCCCAACAACAACUUCUGUUUUCCCCAGAGUCCUACUUGCUGAACACCAUCCAAUAGGCCUGUCAUGGAGGAAUUUCACCUAUCAAAGGGAGAGGUGCAGGUCUGGGACCUGAGUCAAAUGGCUUUGAGCAAGAGAAGACUUGAAAAGGAUGACUCUCAUCCUCUGAAGGAGAGAGGAAGGGAGAAGCCCUUCCCAGACUAACAUAAAGGGUUGAGACCCACUCUCCUGGCUCACUGCAUGAACAGAGCAUGAUGGCCUGGCACAAUGGGCAUGCAUGCAAACUGGAGACUUUUUCCUGGAAUGCUUCUCCUCUGAUCAGCUAACACCAGGUUUCAUGGGAUCUGGCUCACUCUGUCAUUCCUGGAAAGCCCUGACCUGGAGGUGUGGCCAGCAAUCUGACUGCCUGGAGACCUGUGAUGGGACUUGUCAAACUGACCGAAAGGCACUUGAUAUCAAUCAGUAAUUGAUCAAUCAGCAAGAAAGAGGAUACCUAAGAGAUCCAGUUACUGUCAUUGUGAUCCUGAUUUCUCCUGAGGAUGGCAGCUAGAGUCUCUCUCCUCUGAUGAGUAAGGUGCCCAUCAGAUCAUGUGUGUCAGUCAUAGCCAAGGCAAAAUGUGCAGGGGUGUCUGCAGGCAGAGCCUCAGCCUGUCCCUGGCUGUGUGUGCCUGCCCUGGUGGAUGCCACACAUGCCUGAUACCCAGGCAACCUGGCUGUAGAGCUGCAGGCCCAGAGGAGCCUCAGCAAAGCUGAAAAAUACAGAAGGAGGAGUCAAAUAAAUGCCAGAAUUGAUGCAAGGGUAGGCAGAGGGAAAGCAUAGUCAUGAGGGAGGAAAAGCAGCCGUUUAAGUUGGUUUAAAUUAAUACAAAACCACACUCUGUGCCAGCAAUGACAUCCAGAUUGAACAAGAUUUCUGUGUCCCUUACGGUACAGGCAGCUGUGAUGGAUCCCUGCCUUUCCACAAUAAAUAGAUUUUAGCAAGAGUUGAGCUCCUAAGUGCUCCACAAAGCUGCUGAAUGAUCAUGUGUUGAUUAACCUCACCAAGGAAGCAUUGCAAGUACUGGCCAUCAGCAACUAGUUGAGAACUGGUCAUUAAGGGUAUCAGACUGGAAAUAUGUCCUUUACAAAGACAUUCUAAGUGCAAUUAGCUGGUGGAUCAUAAGACCUUGAGACUAUCACUCUUUGGUUUCAU